RNAcentral lists this unclassified non-coding RNA (1581 nucleotides) under uncultured fungus. RNAcentral's name for it is "sequence contains 18S rRNA gene, ITS1, 5.8S rRNA gene, ITS2, 28S rRNA gene". The stretch from base 551 to 1581 matches the Rfam family "Eukaryotic large subunit ribosomal RNA", at positions 1 to 961 of the family's 3401-position model. Lineage: Eukaryota; Fungi. The record is from RNAcentral.
GGAUGGAUCAUUACCAAAGAUCCCAUCCACGUAUUGUGAACUGUUUUGACUAACGGUCAGUGGGAGCUGUAGUAGGUGCUUCGGCGCACGCUACUGUAACCGCUGCCCGUAUCAACAAACGUAUAUUCUAAAACUGACGUCUCUUUAGUAAAUUAACUAAAGACAACUUUUAGCAACGGAUCUCUAGGCUCUUGCAACGAUGAAGAACGCAGCGAAUUGCGAAAAGUAAUGUGAAUUGCAGAUACCGUGAAUCAUCAAAUCUUUGAACGCACAUUGCACUGUCUGGAACUCCGGACAGUAUACCUGUUUGAGCAUCAGUAACCACUCUCCUACACCCUACUGUCUACGGUAGCUGUAUGGAGGACUUGAGUAACCAUGUCGCUCGCGGCAUGCUACUUUAAAUCUAGUGGCUAGGAAGUCCCGGACUUUACUACUAGCUGACAGAGUCAAUGGACCUCGUGUCUAUUACUGUCUCGCUGCGGUAGAGCAACCGGCGAUGCAACCAAGCAUUACUGUAAACUACAGUGGCCCUUACCGGCUUCUGUGACAAUGAUCUCAAAUCAGGUAGGAUUACCCGCUGAACUUAAGCAUAUUAAUAAGCGGAGGAAAAGAAACUAACAAGGAUUCCCCUAGUAAUGGCGAAUGAAGCGGGAACAGCUCAAAUUUAAAAUCACCUCGGUGAAUUGUAGUUUGUAGAAGUGCUUUCGUUGGCAGCCUGGGUAUAAGUCCCUUGGGAUAGGGCAUCAUAGAGGGUGAGAAUCCCGUACAUGAUCCAGGUACUGUCACAAUGUGAUGCGCUUUCAAAGAGUCGGGUUGUUUGGGAAUGCAGCCCAAAGCGGGUGGUAUAUUCCAUCUAAAGCUAAAUACAGGCAAGAGACCGAUAGCGAACAAGUACCGUGAGGGAAAGAUGAAAAGAACUUUGAAAAGAGAGUUAAACAGUACGUGAAAUUGCUAAAAGGGAAACGAUUGAAAUCAGUGUUGGCUGCGGGAAUCAACCGGGCAGAAAUGGCCGGCGUAAUUUCCCGUAGUCAGGUCAACAUCAGUUUCGACCGUGUUAAAUUAGCCCAGGAAGGUAGCUCCCUCGGGAGUGUUUAGACUGGGUGAGUGACACGAUUGGGACUGAGGACUGCAGUACAUGCCUUCGGGCUGGCGAACCCGCCGCUACUAUACAGUUAGUCUUGGACUGCAUGCAGACCCUGGCUAGGUGCGUGGUACUCGUCGGGCUAGCACAAAUGUGCUUAGGAUGUUGACGAAAUGGUUUUAAACGACCCGUCUUGAAACACGGACCAAGGAGUCUAACACAUAUGCGAGUUUUUGGGUGGCAAGCCCAGGAGCGCAAUGAAAGUAAAUGCAGGUGGGAUCCUGGUAACAGGUGCACCAUCGACCGGUCUGGAUUUUUAAUGAUAGAUCUGAGUAAGAGCAUAUUUGUUGGGACCCGAAAGAUGGUGAACUAUGCCUGAAUAGGGCGAAGCCAGAGGAAACUCUGGUGGAGGCUCGUAGCGGUACUGACGUGCAAAUCGUUCGUCAAAUUUGGGUAUAGGGGCGAAAGACUAAUCGAACCAUCUAGUAGCUGGUUCCCUC